CCCUCCGACGUCGAGCCCUAACUCUUCCCUGAGGUUUCAAACUCCGACCUUCAUCUCAAAUCCGACCGCGGAACCCAGAUCGAGCUCUAACUUUCAAUUACCAGGUCACCGCUGCUCCGCGUCCCCGUCUGAAAUCGCCGCCGACUGCUGCUGCUUCGCCUGGAGUCGUCGCCGACUGGAGUUGCUGCUGCUCGUCCGGUGGUCAGCGGACGUCGUCUGGGAGCGCCGCCGCCGGUCUUCCACGGCUACCGCGUCGCCGUCCCCUUCACCUCUCGAUCCGACCUCAGCCGAGGCGGGUGCCGCCGCCGCCGCUGUCCAGAAUCGGCGAGGGUACUUCGCCGCUGCUUCUCCGGCGUUCGGCUCUUCCUUCUCUGUCCGUUGAGCUCCGUCAGGCAGCAGGAGAUGCCGCUGAAAUCUGUCAUCUGCUCAAGAACCAGCUCAAGCCUCUCUCUCUCUCUUGGUUCAGGCGAUGUCGCCUCUGCUCAGCUGACGACCUCCAUCUCCUCUUCAUCGGUCAGCGUUGACGUCAUCUGGUAUCCCUCCCCGAUUUAAUGAAAUCAGGUACAACAAAUACUACUCCUAUCUUUCCCCAAAAUACUAGGUUCGGUUUCACUAGAUCGUGAAGGAAAUUCUCAUUCUAUAGUCUAUGUUUUUCAUAAAAAUGAGUUCAUAUAAUCUGUUGGUUUGCUAGUGAGUUCUAUGUCGAUAAUAUGGUCAUGCUUCUCCUCUCAUACUGUGCAUUUCUAAAACUGGGUAUAUGCUGCAUAUAGCCGGAACUUGAAUAAACUGAAAUAAUGAAUACCUUGCGAAUGUUUUGGGCUUGGUUGGCUGCUGUGAUGUUGAGUUAAAAGAACUGGAAUGACUGAACUGAAAGAUCAAACUUGUUUCUUUCAAUAACUGUAAGUUGUAAUUGGAAGGAGAUGAUGAAUCAAUACUAAUUUUUUUACCUUAAUGUUUCUGGCAGAGAGUGAAUGAGUGAUUUCUCUCACUUUUCGGUUGUAGUGCAUUGAAUGAAUUGAAACUUGAAAACAUUGGCAGGUUGAAAUGGAGGCUCCCCUGCUCUUUGGGAGAUUCUUGGUGAAAAGUGAUAGUGAGUCUUGCGUUGCUUGGCUGAAGUUGAGACUAAGAUAAGGAAGAGUUGUUGCUGCACUAGUAUGGUGGGGGAGUUGGUGGUUGUGGAGUUGGUGGGGAGAAAAGGAUGGUGGGAAGUGUGGUGGAGUGGAUGGUGGAAGAGUAGGUGUAGUGGUGGAAAAAAAAUGUAGUGGAGGAUUAAUGAUGUAUAUUCUAUGUCUCG
This 1294-nucleotide long non-coding RNA is filed under the name Salvia miltiorrhiza (redroot sage). RNAcentral's name for it is "long non-coding RNA (SMIL_LNC006133)". Lineage: Eukaryota; Viridiplantae; Streptophyta; Magnoliopsida; Lamiales; Lamiaceae. The record is from RNAcentral.